This 253-nucleotide ribosomal RNA is filed under the name uncultured bacterium. Its description in RNAcentral is "partial 16S ribosomal RNA". It matches the Rfam family "Bacterial small subunit ribosomal RNA", at positions 524 to 776 of the family's 1533-position model. The record is from RNAcentral.
UACGGGGGGGGCAAGCGUUGUUCGGAAUUACUGGGCGUAAAGGGUUUGUAGGUGGCUUGCUAAGUCGGACGUGAAAUCCCUCAGCUUAACUGGGGAACUGCGUCUGAGACUGGCAAGCUUGAGUGCAGGAGAGGAACGCGGAAUUCCAGGUGUAGCGGUGAAAUGCGUAGAUAUCUGGAGGAACACCGGUGGCGAAGGCGGCGAUCUGGGAAGAUACUGACGCUGAGGUGCGAAAGCGUGGGGAGCAAACAGG